CCUACGGGGGGCAGCAGUGGGGAAUAUUGGGCAAUGGACGCAAGUCUGACCCAGCAACGCCGCGUGAAGGAAGAAGGCUUUCGGGUUGUAAACUUCUUUUAAGGGGGAAGAGCAGAAGACGGUACCCCUUGAAUAAGCCACGGCUAACUACGUGCCAGCAGCCGCGGUAAUACAUAGGUGGCAAGCGUUGUCCGGAUUUACUGGGUGUAAAGGGCGUGCAGCCGGAGAGGCAAGUCAGAUGUGAAAUCCGCGGGCUCAACUCGCGAACUGCAUUUGAAACUGCUUCCCUUGAGUAUCGGAGAGGUAAUCGGAAUUCCUAGUGUAGCGGUGAAAUGCGUAGAUAUUAGGAAGAACACCAGUGGCGAAGGCGGAUUACUGGACGACAACUGACGGUGAGGCGCGAAAGCGUGGGGAGCAAACAGGAUUAGAGACCCUUGUAGUC
Molecule: ribosomal RNA, 442 nt
Filed under: uncultured bacterium
Lineage: Bacteria
Description: partial 16S ribosomal RNA
Rfam family: Bacterial small subunit ribosomal RNA
Source: RNAcentral